AUGGAAGAGGGAGGAGAAAUUUUGCCUCUUCCUCAGUUUGUUCUUUUCACCAAAUAUCUGUAUAUACCCUUCUUUCCUCAUUCUGUGGACACACGCUAAAGUCUGAUCCAGUUCAUGCAUACAGCUCAAAGUCCAGCAUCUCUGGAUGAUAUGAAGUCUUCUCAUCUAAAGUUCUUUACAGUUUGGUUAUAUACAAACAUAUUUAAAAUUCCCUGCCCCUCUAAUAUGUAAUUAUAAGACAGGAACAAGAUAACCACAGUAGAAGCUCCUAUUAAGAAGGACCUAGGUAAGGUCGGGUUUAGCCUAGGUAACAGGGCAGAGAUGUGGUUCAAGAUUCUCCCAGACUCACCGCCAUGGGCGUGUGCUUGCUAAUUCCAGGACUGGCUACUUUGUACAUCCACAGGUUCACUAACGGGGGCAAGGAAAAAAGAGUUGCCCAUUUUUUGUAUCACUGGGAUUUGAUGGAAAGAGAGGCACAUCUUUGGACUUGAUCAUUCCUACAUGUAACGUUGCUACAUGUCAAAGGGUUUGGAGAACAUUGAUUAAGGAAGCAUUUUCCUGAUUGAUGAAAAAAAUAACUCAGUUAUGGUCAUUUACCCCUGCUAGAAGGUUAUACAGUGUAUUAUGUAGCAUGCAGUGUGUUACAUAGUGCUUAAUAAAAAUAAAAUGAAAAAAA
Molecule: RNA transcript, 676 nt
Organism: Sapajus apella (tufted capuchin)
Lineage: Eukaryota; Metazoa; Chordata; Mammalia; Primates; Cebidae
Gene name: NADH dehydrogenase [ubiquinone] 1 alpha subcomplex subunit 1-like
Exons: 1
Source: RefSeq, a predicted model, not a curated record